UCAAGUACUGAGUGUCCCAUCCUAUUAAAAAAGAGGAUAAUUUAAUGUUAACUUUGGACAAAACGUUUGGCUCUUUCCUCCUUAAUGUCCCGGAUCCUCAGCGAGUGGCGGCGUGCUGCUAAAGUGAAACAACAACAAAGCGCGUUGACGUCACAGAUCACAGAGUUUAAUCUCAUACAAAGCAAUCAACAACAAAGCUGCAGAGGAACAGAGAUAUGCAUU
This is a long non-coding RNA of Xiphophorus couchianus (Monterrey platyfish), 222 nucleotides long. RefSeq lists it as uncharacterized. NCBI's taxonomy places the organism in Eukaryota, Metazoa, Chordata, Actinopteri, Cyprinodontiformes, Poeciliidae. The transcript is spliced from 3 exons. The record is from RefSeq and is a predicted model, not a curated record.